GUGAACGCUGGCGGUAGGCCUAACACAUGCCAGUCGCACGGCAGCACAGUAAGAGCUUGCUCUUACGGGUGGCGAGUGGCGGACGGGUGAGGAAUACAUCGGAAUCUACUUUUUCGUGGGGGAUAACGUAGGGAAACUUACGCUAAUACCGCAUACGACCUACGGGUGAAAGCAGGGGAUCUUCGGACCUUGCGCGAUUGAAUGAGCCGAUGUCGGAUUAGCUAGUUGGCGGGGUAAAGGCCCACCAAGGCGACGAUCCGUAGCUGGUCUGAGAGGAUGAUCAGCCACACUGGAACUGAGACACGGUCCAGACUCCUACGGGAGGCAGCAGUGGGGAAUAUUGGACAAUGGGCGCAAGCCUGAUCCAGCCAUACCGCGUGGGUGAAGAAGGCCUUCGGGUUGCAAAGCCCUUUUGUUGGGAAAGAAAAGCAGCAGGUUAAUACCCCGCUGUUCUGACGGUACCCAAAGAAUAAGCACCGGCUAACUUCGUG
RNAcentral lists this ribosomal RNA (491 nucleotides) under uncultured bacterium. RNAcentral's name for it is "partial 16S ribosomal RNA". It matches the Rfam family "Bacterial small subunit ribosomal RNA", at positions 29 to 507 of the family's 1533-position model. The record is from RNAcentral.